CCCUGGGUCCCAUUUACCACCGGGGACCGAGGUUUUUCACUUCUCUUGCCCACUUAUCUCAGGAAUAUUGACCUUUGGUCUAGCAAUGAAAGGAAAGGCAGGAGAAUUGUGUCUGGUAGGUGUGAAACUAGUAUUACUGAAUAACAUGUCAGAAAAACGAAACAGUACACUUUCAAGUGAAAUACACACUUGACAAGUGGGAAGAAGUGAGACUGUCAUACGAUACUAUGAAAACUCAGCCUCUCCUUUAGGACAGGUGGACGGCUUGUACUCCUCUUGCUGUUUAAAAUGAUGCCACUGAGAACAUCUCGUGUACACGUUUCCUGCGCCUCUCGGAUCACUUCCUUUUGAUAGAUUCCUUGAAAUGCUUAAACCACAGUACUCUGCUUUUUAGACGCUUACAAAAAAGGAACCCUCAUAAAAAAGAACCAAAACUUCUUUCCUAGAAAGUUGAUUAAAUCAAGGGGUCCACGUCAUUGUGGCGCGUGAACUUGUGUGGUCUCAGUCACACUCACCAGCCACCAUCUGUAACCCUGGGUCUGGGGCUGUGACUCAGGCCUGAGUGUGUCUGGGACACGGGAGGCGGUGAACCAGAGCCACCCGCUCACCUCGCAGACGUGGGCCGGGGCCUGGAGGCCUGGAGGGAGCAGUGGGCUGGGACCUUUGUCCUGGACGCUGCGUGGUCGUGGUCAGCAUCCGUUAAUCGAGGCCUCGCCUGUUCUUAACGACAGAAGUUUAGGACCAGGACGGAGACGCCAGGAGAGUCCACAGUGAACACGACUCCUGCUAGGAGCCUAAAAUCAGCAUCUUGCCGUCAUUUUCUCCAGGUCAAGUCAGAUAAAGCGCCUUGUUCAUUUUCUUUUUUCUUGUAACUUUUACCUUUUCGAAUCAACUUUAUUAAGGUCAGUUUAUGAAAGAGACAUACACCAUUUUGAUAUCUUGACGAAUGUGAGGUGAGAGGAAGAGCAAAUGGCGCUGGUGCUGCCCAGAGAGCCCCUGAAACAGCCAGGGUCCCCGGGGAGCAGGGCUCGUGCGCCUCUCAGCCUGGCUGGGACCCGAACUCUGACCGCCCAGCUUGGCACGGGCGUCCAGGGCAUCUGCACAACGUUCCAGAGGCUCAAGACUCUCGUCGGCCCCUCGCCCUAAGCUGUGGCAGCCCGUCCUUUCUGGGUUUAUGGUUUUAGCUUCUACAAUUAGGCCUGUGAUCAAAUUAAAUUUUGCACAUGGUGUGAGGUGAGAGUCAGUGUUCAUCCCUCCCAUAUGGAUAGCUACUUGGUGAAAAGACUUUUUCUCACCCAUUAAAUCACCUUGGCAUCCUUGCUGGAAGUGGCUUGGCCCCGUGUGCGUGGGUGUAUUUGGUGCCCGGUUCCAUUCAGGUGAUGUGCCUCGUAUUUCAGCAGCACCGUGGUGUCUUCAUCACUGUAGCCUUGAGAUAAACCUUGAAACUCAGUAGAGUAAGUUCUCCAACUGCUCCUGUAAAAACUGCUACAGCCUUUUGGAUUUCCAUAUGCAUUUUAGACUCAGCUUAUCAUUUUUCUAUUAAGGAGAAGAGCCUGCUGGAACUUGGGUGGAUGCAGGAGAAAAGCGAUGUCUUAGCAGUGUUGGGUCUUGCGCUGACGUGCGGCAGCUCUCCACUGAUCUCAGUGUUCUUCCCAUUUUUUAUCAAUGCGUCAUGGUUUUCAGUGUUUGUCAUUUUGUAUAGUUUGUAAUCUGUCUGUAGGUCGCACAUUUGGGGACUCUGUUUCAGAGGGGCUUGUACUUUUAAAUUUUAUUUCCAGUUGUCUGUUGCUGGAACACAGAGGCGCGGUCGAUCUUGUUUAGUGACCCUGCGUCUCCUGAUGGUGCUGAGUUGGCUUCUUGGUUCUCGCCAUGUAUUUUGAAGAUCUCUUCAUGUGUUCUGCCGGUGUGAUCGCGUCAUGUGUGAAUAAAGACUUUCUUGUGUCUUCACUCCCAUCUGCACGCUUUUCCUUCCUUGUCUCGUCUCCCUGCAGCGCUGAGGCCUUUAGCACAUCACGGAGGAAAGGUGGUGGCGCAGGCCCCUCGCCCCGGCCUCAGGGGGGAGCUCUCUGUCUGUCACCACUAGCAUAACGUAGCUUAAAUCCUUUGUAGGUGUCCUCUCUCAGGUCAAGGAAGGUCCCUUCUCUCUGGUUUGCUCAGAGUUGCUUUUAAAAUGAACAACGGGUGUUGAAUUUCAUCAGAGGCUUCUUAAUCUAUUGAGGUGAUUAUAUGUUUCUCCUUUCUUCUUUUCUUUGCUAGAUUUUCAGAUGUUAAACCAAUCCUGUGUUCUUGAGGAAAACUUCACUUGGUUUUGGCAUAUUAUUAGUUUUUGUAUAUGUAUAUUUUUUAUUGAAGUAUAGUCGGUUUAUAAUGUCAGUCUCUGGUUUACAGCACAGUAGCUCAGUCAUGCACAUACGCACAUACUCGGUUUCACAUUCGUUUCCAGGCUUGGUAUAUUACUGAUUUUUGAUGUUGUUGGAUUCACAUUGCUAAGACCUGGUUACAGGAUACUGGUCUGUAUUUUCUUGUGGUAGUUUUGGCUGAUGUUUGCGUCAGGGUAACGCUGGACUCGUGAUACUGGAUGUGAGGUAGUCCGCCCUCUGUUUCUGAACGUCUGUGUGAGAAACCACUACGCAGAAUUCACCAGUAGUGCCUCUGGCCCUGGACCUCCCUGUGUGGGAUUUACAAUUGCAGGCUCAGUUUUCUCAAUAGAGAGCUAUUUAUGUUUUCUAUUUCUUCUUGUUUCCAUUUUGAUAAUUUGUGAAUUUUGUGGCACUUGACUGAUCUAAGCUGUAGGAUUUAUUGGCAUAAACUGACUCAGCGUUCCCGCCGUGGGGCCUGCCAUCAUGCCCUCUCCUGACGCUGGUGAGUCUCCUCGCCCCCCUUCGUCUCACUAGCAGUUCACCAGUUUUGUCGCUCUUCUCAAAUAAACAGCUUCUGGUUUCGCUGAUUUCUGUUUCUUUGAUUUCUACUUUUACCUUUAUUAUUUUCCUCCAUCUGUUUACUUUGGAUUUAAAUUGCACUUUUUCUAGCUUUUUGAGGUGGAGGCUUAGAUCACUGCAUUUAAAACGGCCAUCUUUCCAAAUGUAAGCAUCUGGAGCCAUAAGGACCUAUGCACUUCUUCUGCUACGCUGUUUUCCUGUUCAUUGAAUUCAAAACACUUUCUAAUUUUCCUUGUGAUUUUUCUUGGCCUCAGAGGUUGUUUAUUUAAAAGUGGGUUAUUUAUAUUAUCUGUGUUAGAAUCACUGGGUCACUUACUUAGAAGUGUAUCGCUUAAUUUCCAGACAUUCGGUGAUUUACCAGUUACCUGCUACAUCUCUACUGUCCUUGUGAUUGGAGGCCAGGGUCUGUGCAGCUCAGUCCUCUUAAGUGCGGGAGGCGUGUUUCGCGACCCGUGUGCUUCCCUUGGUGCGUGUUGCGGGGGCCGGGCCCGCUCUCUGUAGUCAGUGGUGGGUGAGGGCCGCGCCUGCCCGUUCCCCUGUCUGCACGUCACCCGGGGAACAGUGCUGAGACCUGCGACCGCAGCUCCAGGCUGGUCGGCUUCUCCUGACGCUCUUUUCGUCUCUCCCAGUUUUGCGUCGUGUGUUUUGAAGCCCUGUGACGAGGGCUCUGCACGUUUAGGGUUGGAUCUGAGGAAUCCCUCUUUCAUCUUCAUGAGUGUCCUCCUCACCUCUGCAGACACUCCUUGUCCUUAGGUCCGUGUGACACUAACGCAGCCACUGCAGCUUUCUGAGCAUGUGAUUUCUUACAAUUAGUUUUCACAGUAAAUCUUUUUUCAUCUUUUCUUUUAAACCCAUCUGUGUUUUCACAUGUGGAAUGCCUUCCUUGGAGACAGUGUAUAUACCUGGGUCUUAAUUUUCCAUCCAGUGUUUAAUCAUUUUAUUUCUGUCCUUUACUCCCACUCCCCCGCUUUCCUGCCCGCUUCUGGCAGACUUUAAGAUUUAUCUAUACGAAUGCGGUCCUUCCUCCCCAGGAAAGGCCUUGCGUGUCCAGGUGCUGGCGUCUGGCACACUGUAGCCGUGUGUGGCACUGGGGUUCGUACCUUCAUAUUAACUCAGAACCGCCCCACGGCUCCCUGGCGUUACUGUCUCCUUUUGAAAGAUAAGAAAACCCAGGCUUAGAGAAGGUAACUUUCUUAAGGGUGUCCAGGUAGUGACCGAGCCAGGCUCUGACCCCUGGGCCAUCUGACCUCAAAGCUCCAGCCCUUCACCUUUUCUGUCUGCUGACUCUGGACGCCGUGUCCACUUCAAGAUGCAACACUGUCCACAUUUGAUUAGCAGUUGACCUUGAUUCUUACGUGUGAUCUUGAUAAUAGGGACCCAAGGACCCCCCUCAGCUGUCUACCUACAUCCACACCUGUCUACGCACUGACCCCUGCCUGUGCAAGAAGAGGUACACGUGCACACACACCAGUACACUCACCCCCCCCCCGCAUAAGCACGUGCGCACACCAGUACCAUGUACCCCACUAGCCAAGGGGCCCAGGGGCACGAGACUGCCCACCACUGACUCUAGGGAGAGCCUGAAGACACUGCCGCCUGUGGCGAAGAUGAAUGGCUUUCCCGUAAAGUGUUGUUGAAAAGUGAUGAGGACCCUGCAGCGGUGACUGCGUGCGGCUCACAGAGCAAGAGAUGUUUCCUGUGGCUCUUUGCAGAAAGUUGUACAACCCUGCCCUGGACAUGAAGAGAGAGAAAAGAACUUUAAAAUUUGGACCAGUGCCCUCAGAAUUUCAAGAAGAUACUGUAGCCAAA
This is a long non-coding RNA of Vicugna pacos (alpaca), 4748 nucleotides long. RefSeq lists it as uncharacterized. The record is from RefSeq and is a predicted model, not a curated record. Lineage: Eukaryota; Metazoa; Chordata; Mammalia; Artiodactyla; Camelidae.